GAUGAACGCUGGCGGCGUGCCUAAUACAUGCAAGUCGAGCGAACGGACGAGAAGCUUGCUUCUCUGAUGUUAGCGGCGGACGGGUGAGUAACACGUGGAUAACCUACCUAUAAGACUGGGAUAACUUCGGGAAACCGGAGCUAAUACCGGAUAAUAUUUUGAACCGCAUGGUUCAAAAGUGAAAGACGGUCUUGCUGUCACUUAUAGAUGGAUCCGCGCUGCAUUAGCUAGUUGGUAAGGUAACGGCUUACCAAGGCAACGAUGCAUAGCCGACCUGAGAGGGUGAUCGGCCACACUGGAACUGAGACACGGUCCAGGCUCCUACGGGAGGCAGCAGUAGGGAAUCUUCCGCAAUGGGCGAAAGCCUGACGGAGCAACGCCGCGUGAGUGAUGAAGGUCUUCGGAUCGUAAAACGCUGUUAUUAGGGAAGAACAUAUGUGUAAGUAACUGUGCACAUCUUGACGGUACCUAAUCAGAAAGCCACGGCUAACUACGU
RNAcentral lists this ribosomal RNA (496 nucleotides) under uncultured bacterium. RNAcentral describes it as "partial 16S ribosomal RNA". It matches the Rfam family "Bacterial small subunit ribosomal RNA", at positions 28 to 506 of the family's 1533-position model. The record is from RNAcentral.